GCCAGAUCUGAACAAACCCCAAAUGGCUGCAUAGAUUAUAUACUUGUCUCUCCUUUGCAAGGUGACCUGGGGUUUAAAGAGUUGAGUGAGAAGUGAACGUACUAAUGAAGGUAAAACAUACACUGACAACCAGCAAAGGCAGACCAUAAGCAGCACAUUUUGGUGUGCGAUCUCUCAUUUUGAUCUCUAACUCUUUUUUCCAAGCCCCAAACCUUCUAUUAGCUUAAAACAACAACUUAAAAAUGUUAAUUUGUAAAAGCAAUUUUGAUUUUCUAUCUUCAAUUGCUUAGUCCACCCCUAGGAUGCUCUGUGGAUCAUAAUUAGUACUCAGAUACCUGCAAUGAAACUCCUCCUCUUUCCCAUCAAUCUUCUUUGCUUUGUUAAUGUUAUUGCCCUCUCCCCAGCCACCUUUACAUGAGCAUUAUUCUGCAUUGUUGCUGUUGGUUCCUUGUGGAAUGCUGUCAGACAAAAGUGUUAGUCCACAAAGAAGUCAUGGUUAGCCUGAUCUUAACUGUUUGCUACUCUGUAGAUUUUUGGCACCGAUUGUGUGUGUGUGUGUGUGUGUGUGUGUGUGUGCGCGCGCGCGAUCUGCUAAUAAAGAACAUCUGGUUUCAGUUUCUACACUAGACAAUGGAGCAGUUAAUUGAUUUAAGAAAAUCGAGUUCACCUAGAAAACCAUCUGUUUGGGAACAAAAUUCCUCUGAUUCCAGGCAUGGGGUUUUGUUGGUUCUACACCAUUUUUUCCGUGGUCUCUAAGUUGCAACUUGCAGUGUGGGAUGCAUAAUGUUCAGUGAGGGAUGGGAGAGGAGCGCAGUGGCAAUCAGGUGCAUGUGUACAUACUUGUGACUGCAGUCUGUGAACCAACUCACUCUUUUGUUUAAUCCUGGGGAGUGGAGUGAAGUUAAAGAUCCAGUUUUCUCAGUUUUUGUGGUGGUUUGAACAAGAAUGUCCCCCAUAGGCUCAUGAAUUUGAACAUUUGGUCUCCAGUUGGUGAUUCUGUCUGUGGAGGUCUUAGAGGUGUGGUUAUAUUGGAGGACAUGUGUCACCAGGGAUAGACUCUUGAGUUUUUAAAGCCUUGCACCAUUCCUAGGACCCGUCCCCGACCCCCUGCUUCUUGCUUGUGAUUUGAGACAUGAGCUCUCAUUUUUCUGCUCCAUCUGUUUUCCUGCUUGUUGUAGCAGACUCUUACCCUGGGACCACAAACCCAAAUAAACUCUUUCUUCUUU
Molecule: long non-coding RNA, 1226 nt
Filed under: Rattus norvegicus (Norway rat)
Lineage: Eukaryota; Metazoa; Chordata; Mammalia; Rodentia; Muridae
Description: long non-coding RNA NONRATT010991
Source: RNAcentral